This is a ribosomal RNA of Astyanax mexicanus (Mexican tetra), 114 nucleotides long. Lineage: Eukaryota; Metazoa; Chordata; Actinopteri; Characiformes; Acestrorhamphidae. The record is from Ensembl.
GCUUACGGCCAUACCACCCUGAGAACGCCCGAUCUCGUCUGAUCUCGGAAGCAGGGUCGGGCCUGGUUAGUACUUGGAUGGGAGACCGCCUGGGAAUACCAGGUGCUGUAAGCU